Molecule: ribosomal RNA, 363 nt
Filed under: uncultured bacterium
Lineage: Bacteria
Description: partial 16S ribosomal RNA
Rfam family: Bacterial small subunit ribosomal RNA
Source: RNAcentral
CCUACGGGUGGCAGCAGUGGGGAAUAGUGGGCAAUGGGCGCAAGCCUGACCCAGCAACGCCGCGUGAAGGAAGAAGGCUUUCGGGUUGUAAACUUCUGUUAAGAGGGAAGAGCAGAAGACGGUACCUCUGGAAUAAGCCACGGCUAACGACGUGCCAGCAGCCGCGGUAAUACGUAGGUGGCAAGCGUUGUCCGGAUUUACUGGGUGUAAAGGGCGUGCAGCCGGGAAGACCAGUCAGAUGGGAAAUCCCGCGGCUCAACCGCGGAACUGCCUUUGAAACUGUUUUUCUUGAGUACCGGAGCGGUCAUCUGCCUUCCUUGUGUAUCGGUGAACUGCGUCGAUCUCAGGCAGAACACCAGUGGC